UACGUAGGGGGGCGAGCGUUGUCCGGAUUCAUUGGGCGUAAAGCGCGCGUAGGCGGCUCCGCAAGUCGGCCGUGAAAUCUCCGGGCUCAACUCGGAGGGGUCGGGCGAGACUGCGGGGCUCGAGGUGGGCAGAGGGCAGUGGAAUUCCGGGUGUAGUGGUGGAAUGCGUAGAGAUCCGGAGGAACACCAGUGGCGAAGGCGGCUGCCUGGGCCUGGCCUGACGCUGAGGCGCGAAAAGCGUGGGGGAGCGAUCCGG
This 256-nucleotide ribosomal RNA is filed under the name uncultured bacterium. RNAcentral's name for it is "partial 16S ribosomal RNA". It matches the Rfam family "Bacterial small subunit ribosomal RNA", at positions 524 to 776 of the family's 1533-position model. The record is from RNAcentral.